CCCCAGCUGCCGUUGCCCGCCCCGUGGGACUAGGGAUUGCCGGAGAUCUCGGAGAGGACCGGGGCGGGGGAACUUUCAAAGGCCGGAUCGGCGACCCGGAGGGGAAGUGCCGGAGCUCCCCCAGGCAGCAGACAAAACUCUCUGUCUGCCGGUAGCAGAGGGGCCACGCUGAGCACUCAGGGCUCCCGGCAGAGGCCCGGAGAGAAGCCCAGAGGGCGGGGCGACCCCCAGCUGCUGUUGCCCGCCCCGUGGGACUAGGGAUUGCCGGAGAUCUCGGAGAGGACCGGGGCGGGGGAACUUUCAAAGGCGGGUCCGGCGAUCCGGUGGAGAAGCGCCGGAGCUCCGCCCGGGCAGCAGACAAAACUCUCUGUCUGCCGGUAGCAGAGGGGCCACGCCCAGCAUUCAGGGCUCCCGGCAGAGGCCCGGAGAGAAGCCCAGAGGGCGGGGCGACCCCCAGCUGCCGUUGCCCACCCGGUGAGGCUAGGGAUUGCCGGAGAUCUCGGAGAGGACUGGGGCUGGAGAGAGUUCCAGAGACCCAGCUUAGUAGCCUAGGGGGAAACCCUACAGGCUCACAGAAGCCUUAGGGAAAGCCUCUGCACAGCACCAGUAGAAGGCACCCAGCCGCCAGCCACAAGGCUGGAAGACCCCAGGGCAAAAGCAGCAUAGCUAGGUGUACUAACCACAGACUGUAGAAGAUGCCAAUAGCUCUCCUGCGACCCAUAGAGGACAAGUGAGAUUUGGUGGGUGCCGACAGCAACCGAGCGACAAAUAAAAGUGAUCCCACCCCUGGCUGCUGGAAAAGCCCAUAACACCGUUGCAGACCCCAAGGAGAGAGCGCAUCUAGGUGGGCAACAACAGUAGGCACCUGCAGUCUGAAGCCCCCCGUGACGGCCCCCACG
Molecule: long non-coding RNA, 899 nt
Filed under: Equus caballus (horse)
Lineage: Eukaryota; Metazoa; Chordata; Mammalia; Perissodactyla; Equidae
Description: lncRNA (ENSECAG00000058922.1)
Source: RNAcentral